RNAcentral lists this long non-coding RNA (22321 nucleotides) under Mytilus galloprovincialis (Mediterranean mussel). The record is from RNAcentral. Lineage: Eukaryota; Metazoa; Mollusca; Bivalvia; Mytilida; Mytilidae.
UAUCUAGUUUUAAAAAAAGUGUGGCAUGACCCGCCCAACAAACCAAGAUCGCCGCCAUGGCUAAAAAGAGCGCAUAGGGGUAAAAUGUAGAUUUUUGCUUAUAACUCUGAAACCAAAGCAUUUAGGGAGCUACCAUUGAUUCUUAUGGGUGGGGCUGUAGGAUGAAUUUGAAAAAAAUAGACAGGACAGGAGUUUUGAGUAAAAAAAAGGCCCAGGAUUGAGACAAUUGCCAAAAAAAAACAGUCAGGACGACAAUUUAAGGUUAAAAAAAAAAUCAGGAUAACUAAAAAAAAAAAAAGCAGGGACCAAACAGAGUGAAAAAUAAAAAGGCAGGACAGAGAUUACAGCUAAAAAAAAUGCAGGAGAAAAAAAAUUUUUCAUCCUAGCCCCCCCAUAAAAAGUCAAAACAGAAGAAUAGAAAUACACAUAUAAAUAGAGCAAAUCUGACGAGAACGGGUAAAAUUUGUUAAUGAAGUGAAGAUCUACCGAAAUCUAGCAAAUAUAAUUCAAGAUAACUUGGACAACGGUUGUUGGUUGCUGCCCCCUGAAUUUGUAAAUUUUAAAGAAAAUUUUGACGUUUUAUAUAACGAAACGCAACAAUUUAAAAAAAUUAUAAAUAUGGUACGUAUAUUGAGUAUCACCGUUGCGUCGUAGUCGCUCUCCGAAUACGUUUUAGAAAUUUUCGCAACUCAAACUUUGUAAAAGUGAAUAGAAAUCUAAUAGAAAAUAUUUAAAAAAUAAACGACAAAAGAGUUUAAUGAAACCACAAAUAGGAAGGUGGGGAUUGAUUUUGGAGUUUGGGUCCCAACAUUUUAGGAAUUAGAAGGCCCCAAAAAAGGGCAACCCAAAUAAGCAUUUCAUGGGAAGUUAAUUCGCAACAAUAUAACUUAGUUAAUGUAAUAGAAAAUCAUAUGAAAUUUUGACCAAGGUUGAUGCCACAAAAGAAAGGUUGAAGAAGAUGAUGUUGGAGAGUAUAUAAUAGGUAAAAUCAAACAAAUAUAUAAGAUAAUAAAGAGAAAGACCUAAAAGUGGGCCCAAAAUAGAGCAUUAUUCUUGGUUGUUAGCACCAAUGUAAACUGUGUAUAAGUAAAUAGAAAUCAAUGAUUUAAACACAGCGUUUAUGACCACAAAAGAAAAGUUGGAUUGAAAUAUUAAGAUUCGAAGUUGAAGGUCACAAACAGUAUAAAGGAAUUAAGGAGGCCAAAAAAGGAGGCCAAAUAAGCCUAUUCUUGGUUUUAGCACCAUAACUUUAGUUAAGUAAAUAGAAAUCUAUGAAAUUUUAAACAAGGUUUUGACCAUAAAGAAGAUUGGGUAUUGAAUUAAUAUGGAGAAGAUCAUUUGGAUUACUACAAACAGUAGGAAUAAGGGUGCCAAAGGGUCCAAAUGAAUGGUUUGAUUUCAAAAUCAAAAGAUUAUUAUAAAUUGGGGUUCUUUGAGUAUGCCGAAUCUAAAACAUGUGUAUGGUAGAAUUUCUUAAUUUUGGUCCCGUUUCAAAUUGGUCUACAUUAAGGUCCAAAGGGAUACACAAAAAUUAAAACUAUUAAGAAUUAUUAACAAAUGAAAUCCUUGGGUUCUUGAUAUGACUGAAAAAUCUAAAAAAAAAUGUAAACUAAAUAGAAUUAUAUUUAUUAUUAGCCCAGUUUUCAAGUUGGUCCAAAAUCGGGGUCCAAAAUCUAACUUGUAAUUGAUUCAUCAAAAAAAUAUGAAUAAUUAGAGGUUCUUUGAUAUGCCAAAUCGUAAACUGUGUAUGUAGAUCUUAAUUUUUGCGUCCCCGUUUUCAAAAUGGUCCCAUUAAAGUCAAAGGGUCCAAAUUUAAACUAAGUUUGAAUUUUAACAAAAAAUGAAAAUUAUUGGAGUAUAUUUAUUGAUAUGCAUAGAAUCUACAUAGUACAUAUAGAUUUUUGAUUUAUUGGGCCCAUUUUUAUACGACCGCAAAAAAUUUUAAUUUUUCGUCGUAUAUUGCUAUUCACUUGGCGUCGUCGUCCUGCGUCGUUCUUGCGUCUUGCGUCGUACGUCGUCGCCGAAUACUUUUCCGUUUUCGCACUCUAACUUUUAGAAAGUGAAUAGAAAUUCUAUAAAUUAUUAACACAAGGAUUUAUAACCACAAAAGGAAAAGGUUGGGGAUUGAUUUUGGAGUUUUGGUCCCAAAAUUUUAGGAAUUUAAGGGGACCAAAAAAGGAGCCCAAAUAAGCAUUUUCUUGGUUUUCGCACUAUAACUUGAGUUUAACUAAUAGAAAAUUCUAUGAAAUUUUGACACAAGGAUUUUGACCACAAAAAGGAGGUUAGGAUGAUUUUUGAGGAGUUUAGAUUAAAACAGUUUAGAGAAAUCAUAAGGGAGCCAAAAAAAGGGCACCAAAAUAAGCAAAUAUAGUUCUUGGGUUUUCGACAAAUAACUUUAGUAUAAGUAAAUAGAAAUCAAUUGAAAUUUAAACACAAGGUUUCCAUGACCACAAAAGGAAGGUUGGGAUUUGAUAAAUUUGGGAGUUGAAGGUCUUGAACAGUUUAGGAAUAGGGCCAAAAAAGGCGGCCCAAGUAAGCAUUAUUCUUGGUUUUCGCACCAUAACAAUUAUAAAAAGAUAAUAAAAAAGAUAAAAAUAAAGAAAAUCUUUGAAUUUAAACACAAGUUAUGACAUAAAAGGUAAGGUUGGGAGUUUAAUUUUGGGAAAGUAUUGGUCCCAACAGAGUUAAUUUAAGGAAGAAGAGGGACCCAAAGGGUCCAAAAUUGAACUUUUGUUGAUUUCAUCAAUAAUUGAAUAAUUUGGGGUUCUUUGAUAUGCGAUCAUAAAUCUGAAAUGUAUGUAGAUCUAAUUUUUGUCCCGUUUUCAAAUUGGUCUACAUUAAGGUCCAAAGGGUCCAAAAUUAAACUUUAGUUUGAUUUUAACAAAAAUUGAAUCCUUGGGGUUCUUUUAUAUGCUGAAUCUAAAAAUAGAUACAAUAUAAGAUUUUUUUAUUAUUGGCCCAGUUUUCCAGUUGGUCCAAAUCGGGGUCCAAAUUAAACUUUGUUUGAUUUCAUAAAAAAAAUAAUAAAAUAUAUAGGAGAGAUCUAUUGAUUAUGCCAAAUGCAACUGUGUAUGUAGAUUCUUAAUUUUUAGUCCCGUUUUCAAAUUGGUCUACAUUAAAAUACCAAAGGGUCCAAAAUUAAACUAAGUUAUGAUUUUAAUAAAAAUUGAAUUCUUUGGCUUUUUGAUAUGCUGAAUUUAAAUCAUGUACUAAUAGGAUUUAUUAGAUUAUGGCCCAGUUUUCAAGUUGGUUCGAAAUGAGGAAAUCCAAAAUGAAUUUAUUAAGUAUUGUUGCAAUACAUGUAGCCAAGAAAUUUUCAAUUGCACCAGUAUUCGCAAUAGCAGAAAUCUUCAAUUGCACGUAUUGUGCAAUAGCAAAAAAUAUUCAAUUGCACAGUAUUGUGCAAUAGCAAGAAAUCUUCAAUUGACACAGUAUUGUGAAAACAAAUAGCAAAUAAUUUUCAAAUUGCACAGUAUUGGGCAAUUAGCAAGAAAUAUCUAAUUGCAAACAAAAUAUUGAUGCAAUAGCAAGAAAUUUUCAAUUGAUUGGAGUCAUCUUUCUUUGUCCAGAAAUAGUAGUUGAAUCAACUUAAAUCAUUGUUGUUAUAUACAAUGCACAAUGUAUAUCACUGUUUACUACCAACGAUAAAUAUAAAACACUCUUUACCAUUCAGUGAUAACAAGCAUUAUUUUGUGUUCCUUAUUAUAUUUAUGAUUUGUACAGUCGACUCUCGUUAUGUCGAAGUCAGCCGGACCAGAGGAAAUAUUUCGAGAUACACGCUAGUUUCGACUCAAAAAAAAAACACCGGAAAGUUCGACAAUCUAAGGGAAACAACUCUUGCUUAGCUUCGGUAAAGCUAAAAUAAAUCCGGCACACGUGAAUAUGCAAGGGGAUCGAUGUUUUCUAGUAUCAGAUCAGAAAUGAUAAUUAUGUAUAGUCAACAGAUCUUAUUAUGUUAAUUAAUGACAUUUUUUUACUUAUUCAAUUAAAAAAAUCCUUUGGCUUUUCAAAAGAGAGUAAUUAUCCAAAUCGAUAGUUUUAUUAAAUGUUAAACUGUUUAUUCAGAUCGUUAUAGCUGACAAAAAAUAAAGAUUAAUAUAUCAUCGGAUACAAGAGAUUUAAGGAAAUUUUGAUUUCUAUUCAUUUUGUUUUAUCUCACUCUUUCUUUUCAAAAGAAAAUAUAACAAGAUUAAAGACGCCGUUUAAGUAGUUUUUAGGUGAUCAUCAACGGAAGCCAUAAUCCUCACUUUAUACACACCCAAGCUCAUUAGUGUAAAUCACAAAUUAAUUGUUUUGUAAACAUUUUAAAUACUUGUUCAUGAACAUUAACAAUGUAUCACUAAUUAUUUAUAAAAAUUCUAUAAAAGAUAAUCUUAGGUAAACACUCAUGGAAAUAGCAUGUCAUAAAUCAAUAUAGUGUUCAGUGACCGGAAAUUUAAUUACACGUGUAUUGUCAGAUUAACUCUUCAAUCCAUUUUUAAAAAUCCCGGAGGUCAUGUUUUGACAUAUGUGUAUUAGUUCGAGAUAAAAAAAUGAAUUUUGAAUGCUUUUGUUAACCUUGGGACCGUAAAUUUAGUUCGACUCAACCGAAAUUUCGACUCAUCCAAUUUUGACUCAUCAGGAGUUGAAUUACAUACUUUUGUAUGGAAUAAAGUUCGGGACCACGUGAAAACUUCGACUCAUCCGAAAUUUCGAGUCAACCGAGUUAGAACGAGAGUUAACUGUAUUUCAAUGAGUAGUUAAUUGUUGCAAACUCCCAUUAGAAAUUUGAUUGAGAAUCAGUUUUGAAAAAAGAAAGAGGAGAUGAUGAAAAAAAAAAAUGUUGGCCGGUGGAGGGGGGAGGAGGGGUUAAUUAUUUUACUACAAUUAUCAGAUUUCAUAAUAAAAAGAAAAUUUCUUCAAACAUUUUUUUGAAGGAAUUACAUAUUCAACAUCAUAAGAUAAGAUAUGCUAACAAGACAAAAAAAAUUAUUUUUAAGUUCAUUAGACCACAUUAAUUCUGUGUCCAAAACCUAUGCUGUGUCAACUAUAUUAAUCACAAUACCAAAAUUUAGAGACUGAAUCCAAGCAAUAUGAAAUAGUAUGUGUCCAUUAACUUGCCGCCAACGUUCAGGGUUCAACCGAAUGCAAGUCGUAUAAAGCUGCGCCCUGCGGGCAUCUGAGUUCAAGUUGGUUCAAAUCAGGAUCCAAAAUUAUUAUAUUAAGUAUUGUGCAAUAGCAAGAAAUUUUCAAUUGCCACAGUAUUCAGCAAUAGCAAAGAAAUCUUCAAUUGCACAGUAUUGUUGCAAUAAGCAAGAAAAUUUUCAAUUGCACAGUAUUGUGCAAUAACAAAUAUUUUCAAUUGCACAGUAUUGCGCAAUAGCAAAAAAUAUCUAAUUGCACAAUAUUGUGCAAUAGCAAGAAAUUUUCAAGUGGAGUUAUCUUUCUUUGUCCAGAAUAGUAGUUGAAUCAACUUAAAUCAUUGUUUUAUACAAUAUACAAUGUAUAUAUUCACUUUUACUACCAACUGAUAAAUUAAAACAAUCUUUACCAUCCAGUGAUAACAAGCACUUUAUUUUACAUUUUUAAAUUAUUUAUAUUGAUGAAUAUUAUAUAGACAAUUUAAUGUAUAUAAAUAAUUCCAUUGAAAUUUGACACAAAAACAUAAUUAAAAGUUUUAGAAAACAUUCAAAUAUAGGAAAAUAAUAAGCAACAUAUAAUGGCAUUGGAGUUAUCUUUCCUUUUCCAGAAAAAGUAGAUUAAAUUAUUUUAAAUCAUGAUGUUAUGACAUUUAAUAUUUUAAUGAUGUAUAUUAAAUGAGUUAGUUAUUGGUGCAAACUCCAUAUAGAAAUUUGAAUAUAGAGAAAUCAGUGUUUUGGAAAAAGGGAAAGGGGGAUGUGNNNNNNNNNNNNNNNNNNNNNNNNNNNNNNNNNNNNNNNNNNNNNNNNNNNNNNNNNNNNNNNNNNNNNNNNNNNNNNNNNNNNNNNNNNNNNNNNNNNNNNNNNNNNNNNNNNNNNNNNNNNNNNNNNNNNNNNNNNNNNNNNNNNNNNNNNNNNNNNNNNNNNNNNNNNNNNNNNNNNNNNNNNNNNNNNNNNNNNNNNNNNNNNNNNNNNNNNNNNNNNNNNNNNNNNNNNNNNNNNNNNNNNNNNNNNNNNNNNNNNNNNNNNNNNNNNNNNNNNNNNNNNNNNNNNNNNNNNNNNNNNNNNNNNNNNNNNNNNNNNNNNNNNNNNNNNNNNNNNNNNNNNNNNNNNNNNNNNNNNNNNNNNNNNNNNNNNNNNNNNNNNNNNNNNNNNNNNNNNNNNNNNNNNNNNNNNNNNNNNNNNNNNNNNNNNNNNNNNNNNNNNNNNNNNNNNNNNNNNNNNNNNNNNNNNNNNNNNNNNNNNNNNNNNNNNNNNNNNNNNNNNNNNNNNNNNNNNNNNNNNNNNNNNNNNNNNNNNNNNNNNNNNNNNNNNNNNNNNNNNNNNNNNNNNNNNNNNNNNNNNNNNNNNNNNNNNNNNNNNNNNNNNNNNNNNNNNNNNNNNNNNNNNNNNNNNNNNNNNNNNNNNNNNNNNNNNNNNNNNNNNNNNNNNNNNNNNNNNNNNNNNNNNNNNNNNNNNNNNNNNNNNNNNNNNNNNNNNNNNNNNNNNNNNNNNNNNNNNNNNNNNNNNNNNNNNNNNNNNNNNNNNNNNNNNNNNNNNNNNNNNNNNNNNNNNNNNNNNNNNNNNNNNNNNNNNNNNNNNNNNNNNNNNNNNNNNNNNNNNNNNNNNNNNNNNNNNNNNNNNNNNNNNNNNNNNNNNNNNNNNNNNNNNNNNNNNNNNNNNNNNNNNNNNNNNNNNNNNNNNNNNNNNNNNNNNNNNNNNNNNNNNNNNNNNNNNNNNNNNNNNNNNNNNNNNNNNNNNNNNNNNNNNNNNNNNNNNNNNNAAAAAAUCAGAAAUUAUUGUGUGUUUUUUAAUAUGCUAAAAACAAUGAUUACUAAUGUGAUUCAAGUAUAGAAUAAUGAGGACUUGCAUUCUUUGAAUAUACUAUAUUUGUACGCAGCUCCCAAAAAUCACAAUAAUUAAACUUGCAGAGAGAGUUUUUUGGUAAGUUUUCUUUUCUUUUUCUAGAUAGAGUUGGCGGCAGAACUUUUUCUGUUCCCCUUAAGACUGGUACUGGUACAGAUAUAUUUGACCUUGGAGGACAAUGGGUUGGCACGUAAGUUGGAAAAUUAAAAUUAAAUAAAAAAAUUAGAAGUAAAUAAAAAUUUGGUGUUAAAAUACUUUUACAAAUAAUUGAGAAGUCCAACUCAUCCAGACCCUCCUAUGUAGCCAUAAAGUGCUCAAUGAAUUUGUUUUUCUUGUCAGUAGCGAGAGUUGUAAUAGACCACUUUCGAGUUCAUCCGUCACCGGAAAAAACUCGUCAAUUAUACGCGCCUUUAUGAUGUCAUUAACCAGAUAGAGGCGGUCGUCAUUGUGGAGGAUAAACUAGAAAUAAUAUUUGUUCUGUAGGUACUUAAUCAGCAGUGCUAAAGAUAAUUUUGAGAAUUUAACUUGCUGAAUAAUUCGUGCAAUAUAGCUUUGUAAAUUUAACUUGCUGAAUAAUUCGUGCAAUAUAGCUUUGUAGUUUUCCAACCACUCGCUCAAUUUGUGACCAUAUAUAUGUACAUUAAAUUUUUCAUUGUUUAAUAUGUUCAGAAAACUAAUACAAAUUUCUAAGGGAGAAACAGUUUAACUUCACUUUAUGAUUUUUUUUCACUCAAAGCAUGAACAAUUUUAUUUAGUUUUUCAAAGCUAUCACUCAAAUAAUUUUGUUCAAAAUUUAACACUACAAGUAUAAGCAUGAUAAAUAAUAUGGAAAAUCUGGAUUCAGAAUAUGUUAAUGGCCUCUCAUUCACACACCUUAUUGUCUGCUUGAACAUACUUUUUUACAUCAAUUAGGGAAUCAGAAUAUCUUUUUAGGAAAAAUCAUACCCCCACCCCCUGAAGUUAAAUAGUUGUUCCCUUAAUAACUUUCUCAUAUAAUAUAUAAUAAAGUGGGGCCUGAAAAAAAUAUUUUGUGUCAACUAUCAGUGACUAUGCAUAAUACUUUAGAUUCUUAAAUUUGAAGAUGUUUUUAUUUCCUGCAAAUUAUUUAUAUGCUUCCUUUUCUUAAAUGGUAUAAUUAAUCUCACAAUGUUGUCCAUUGUUCAACAAGCUAAGAAGCACAGAGAAAUUUCUGAGUUCACUGUAUAUAAUUUUUCUAUUUUCAGUUCUCAAAUAGAUGUAAUGGACCUACUGAAAGAGUUAGGUAUAGAUACUUACAGUCAGUAUAUAAAGGGGAGAAAGUUUAUGCAGGUUGAUGGACAUAAAAUAUCCAGUUAUACAUCAUCCAUACCCUCGCUGUCUUUCUUCUCACUCAUUGACUUAGAUAUGUCCAUUAAGAAGGUAAGUGUUUAUGCCCUAACUUUUUAAUAAUACUUACUUGUACUGAAUUUUGUAAAUCGAAGAACAAUGCAUUUUCAAGGGUACUUGUUUUAAUCAUUGGCAAUGCAGUAUAUAAGUUGGUAGUAAGUUUUUAUUUUACGCAAUUCAAUUUAGGAGUCAUCUAUAUAUUAGAUAUAGAAAAAUUAGUACCUCACAAAUUAUAACGAAUUCACUAUAAAUCUUUUUAUAUAGUUUAAUUUGAAAUAUACAGAUAAACAAUAAACACAUGUUUCUUUAAUAAAUUUCAUCAAAUGCAGUUUAGAUAAACAUUUUUUUAAAACUGUCAUGACUGUAUGCAUAUACAUGUAUAUAUAAAACUUCUGGCAUAAAAAAGGAAAUAAUUGUGCUUUCCAUUGGCCAGGUUAAUAAACAGAGGAAAUUGAUUAUUCACUGAUAGUUGCAUAAAUUUUUUCAUUGGGUGAUUAUAUGAAAAUAAGGAAAUGUUGUAUGAUAACCAAAGAGACAGCUAUCAUACUAAGUUCAAAUGAAAUGGAUGUAACCAAUUAUAGGCAACUAGGCAGAUUUCAGCAAAGAGGAAAACCCAUCAGUUAAAGUCGAAUAUAAAAGGCUUCAACAUGAAAAAUAUGAAGCACUGUAUGAUAAUAUAUGAGUUAAUUAAUGAAAUGAAUUGUAACAGGUCUCUUAUGUUAUAAGUAACUGAAACAGGUACUAAAAUUUUAAAAAACAUUUUUUGAACUUUUACCAUUUUUAAAUAUUUUGAAAUUCCUGUUUUCUGUAACAAUAUGUAAGUUUAUAUUUCAGAUGGACAAAAUGGCCAAACUUGUAAAUAUUCAGGACCCUUAUAAAAGUCCACAGGCUAAGAAAUGGGAUGCUAUGACAGUAGAAACUUUUGUCAGUCAGAAUGUGUGGACCCAAGGUUUGUAGAAUGUAAUACAAAUAUAAUAGUCCAUUUGCCAAGUACUACUUUGACUAUGUUACACAACUUGUUUUCAUUUGGUUUAUGUUGCCUAGUUCUUUAAAAUAGUUUAACUGGACAAAUCUUUGUGCUGACAAUACAAAGGGAUAAACAGACAUUUUAACCAAUUGUUAGUAAAGAAUAAAUAUUGAAAACCUUUAAGGUUAAACUUUCAAAUUGGUCCCUAUUAAUGGAAACAAAACAUACAAGUGGAUCUUUAAUUUCUGGUCAGUAAUUUGGAAAAACUAUACAUUCAGAAAAUAUUGCAUGCAUUUCUUUUAGCUGCAAUGUUUGACUGUACAAAGUAAUUGAUAAUUAUUGCGAUGUGAAUAUUGUUGAAUUCUUGGCCAUAUCAUCCUAAGCCUAAAACCUUUUACUAUAUCAAAAUUUUAUAAUUUUAGCUGCAAAAGACUGCCUUGUGUCUGCAACUAGGUGCAUGAUGGGUGUUGAAUUGUCACAGAUUUCAGUGUUGUAUUUUUUAUCAUAUGUAAAUGCAGCUGGUUCUUUACAAAAACUGAUUGAAGCUACUGAAAAUUGUGGUCAGGAAUUCAAAAUUAAGGUAAAGAAGAAAAAUAAAUGUUUUGUACAUACAAUUGGUUCAAUAAGUAGGAAAUUGUUCACAUAACAUUUCACAUUUCCUGUAUUCAAUUGCUUCAACAUUUACCUUUAGAAUUAAAAGCAUCUUCUUGUAAUUUUACUGGGUUGUUAAAUCUAAGAAAUGCUUCAUACAUAUUUAUGACAUGUGCAUGAUCAACACUUUCACAACUGUAUGAAAUAUUUGGUUUGUUUUCAAUUGCAUUUAUCAGUCCAUGAAUGUUGCAUUCUUCUACCUCAGCAAUAGAUAACGUUAGCUGUAUUUUGCAAAACUUUGAGGAAUUUUUGGUCCUCAAUGCUCUUCAACUUUGUACUUUAUUUGGCCUUUUUAAUAUUUUUUUAUUCCAGCGUCACUGAUGAGUCUUUUGUAGAUGAAACACACGUCUGGCAUAAAUAUAAUUGCAAUCCUGGUAUCUACUCUCAUGUAUCUAUGAUUAGUUUAUCUAUUGCUAAAUAAAAAAAAUAAUUUGGAACUCCUUUAAAUUGUUGUCAGUAAAUCAAAAGGAUGAUUUCAUAAGAAACAUUCAAUGUCAUGUAUUGUAAUUAUUUAUCUUUUAAAGUGCACAACUGUCCAGAAUACAAUUUAAGUCGAGGAAAUAAAGAAAUUACACCUGAACCCUUUAUUAAGAGAAAAACUGUCUUGUUAGGUCUGUUCCCAUUGUAAGUAAUACAUAUGCGUUUUGAUCCUCAGUGUGAAGGUGAACUCUCUUAAAAGGUCAGAUUUCCUUUGGUUAGGAGGCUGAUAUGUAUAAACAGGUUUUACUGUAGUAUGAAAAUAUGUUGUCGAUAUUUUAAACCCAUAAAUAUUAAUAUAUAAAAAGAUAAGUUGUUCAAAUUAAACCUUUAUACAUUUGAACAUGCAACAGAAAGAUUGACUUCUAUAUGUUGAAAAAAUCAGAUGAUUCAUAUAUGAAUCUGGUUAGUCCAAAUAAUAAUAAUGUCUUGUAGGAAGACGUCACAGAUUAAAAAAACAACUUUCAAAACUUCAUGAUUAUUUUGACUAUUAUCUGGUAUAAAUUAAUUCUACAUAUUUUUUAGGGAGGAGCACAACAGAUAUCUAAACAACUAGUCAGUAAACUUGCCAAAGAUACAGUUAAACUUAGUCAUCCAGUACUAAGUAUUGAACAAGUGAGUGUCAACUGGUCAGUAAACUUGACAAAUCUUCUUUUUGGCAUAAGACAUUUGCUAUUUUAACAUUAAAAUCUUGUGGGAACCUUUGACUCUGUGAUGUGCAGUAAUGGCAGACAAAUAGGAAUAAGGUCUAUUGUUAAAUGUGACAUUUCAUGUUAUAUUGUAUGUAGGGUAUUCUGCAUGGCAUGCAUAAAGAAGCUAACAAUCACGCUUAAAAUCCUAAAACAUGACUGCUAUCCUGGAAUAUGUGAAAGACUUGUUGCGGACAACAAAUAGGUACCUGGAGUACUGUAAAUUCAGAAAUUAUUGCGUUGUUUUUAUUAUUGCGAAAAACUUAAUACGGUUAUAAUCGCAAUAAUUUACACUCGCAUUUAAUUUUUUUUUAUGAAUUAAACAGGAUUUUUCUCAAUCUCAUAAGAAUUAUCAUUAAAAUUGCAUAUUAGUGCACGCAAUAGUUUCUUAAUUUACAGUAUUCAGUUUGUUAUAAUUUGCAUAAAGAAUAAUCAGGCAAGCAAUGAUGUAAAACUAAAAUUUCAAUCAUUGCUGAACGCUUAGUACUUAAGUUUCAAUCAUUAUUGAAAUCUUACUAAAAUUUCAAUCAUUGUUGAACUUUUUAUUUAUGUUUAUAGCUCAUAUACAUAUUUUUUUUUGUAGACCAAAGAUUGUGUUAUUGUUAAAACUCUUAAUGGAACUGAGUUUAAAUGUAAAUCUGUGAUAAUGGCUACACCACCAAACAUGACAAGUAAGUAUAUUUGUAAUAAAUAUGACGGGGAUGGGAGGGGGGUUGUAGGGGUUGGAGGGCUCCUGACCACGAAAUCCCAGGCUUAAAAACAUGAAAUCCCAAGGUCCCAAUUUAAAUCCUGACAUCCCAAAAUUUAAAAAAAUAAAUCCUGGAUCCAAAAAGGAUCAAUCCCAAAAUCCUGAGCUUAAAAAUACCUAAUCCUGGUGUUCCGAUAAAGGUCAAACUCUGAAAUUAAUAAGAUAGUAACUUUAAGAUUAAUUUUUAAUUUAAAUUAAUCAUAAAAUGAAUAAUUAUGGGAAAAUCAAUUGUUUUAAUAUUUUCAUUAUUACUAGAUCCCUGAGUAAAUUAUUUCCAUUGGUCAGAGUCCCCUCUAAAAACGCCUUUAAGAUGAUCGUGUGUGAAUACAGAAAAUGUAAUUAAACAAUUGUCAUAUAAUUAUAGUGUUUACCCCCAAAAUAUAAGACGAUAUUAAGUAACAAUUUUUAAGUUCUGAAGCAACUAAUUGACGUUCUCAGGUAUGUUUCUCAUGCAAAUAUCAAUGUUUAUUUUCGUUUCCUGCUUUGAAACUUGAAAACAUUAGAAACAACCAUUUUACUCCUCAACAUUGAAGAGAGUUCUAAGGUCAAGAAUAAUGUAGUCGGAAUGGGCAUAAUUUUUUGAACUGGUAGAUGGCGCAGCAUUGUUAUCAUAAAUGAUUGCUUAACCUGCCAAGGAUGGAGAGGACGGGCUUUUGUAACCCUCGGCUAGAGAAAAUGGUCAGAAGUUGUGAAAAAAAGACAUUUGAAACAAUAUAAAAACCUAAUAUGAAAAUAAGAAGAUGUGGUAUGAUUGCCAAAGAGACAACUCUCUACAAGAGACCAAAUGACACAGAAAUCAACAACUAACAGGCUAUUAUUUAAACUUGGAAUUAUUUUUAAUUAUGGAAUUUGCAUAAUUUCCUGUGUUUAAAAUUUUUAAUAAAUUCCAUGGAUAUUCCGUAUUCUGAUCUUUUGAGGGGUUAAUAACAUUUUCCUUACAAGGUAUUUUGGUUAGAUAGUGUUGUGCACUGCACAGUACAUUCUAUUGAAAAUAUAAUAUGUUUCUUGUAACAAGAAAUCAAGCAAAUUCCAUAAUUAAAAAUAAUUCCAAGUUCAAAUAAUAGCCUGUUAACUAUAGGUCACUGUACAGCCUUCAACAAUGAGUAAUAUUCUAAUACAUGUAUAUUUUGAUUGCAGAUAAAAUAAAUUUCAAGCCUAAUCUUCCAGCACCUAAAAAGGAAAUAAUGAACAGAAUGCCAGUGGGUUUAUUAAAUAAAGUUAUUAUAACUUAUGAAAAAGUAAGUUUAUUAUCUAAUAGAACAGAGAACUUAUUCAUGAGGCAAAAUUCUACAUGUUUUUGACAAAAUCUAAAAAAACAGUGUUUUUAUUGAUUUUCUUCAUCUCAAGUCACAACAUGCCUUGUAUACAGGGCAAAACAAGCCCACAUCUUACUACAAGUUGAAGUUCACCCUAAUACAAGUUCAAGCAGAAUUCUUUGCUAUAUGUCAUAAAUGGUUCACCUUCUGACUAACAAAGGUUUAUAAUAAUAUUAACAAAUAACAGACAGGUACAUAAAUCUAACAAGUACAAUCAUCCUCAGACAUUCAUUCAGUUCUCAAGAGUCAUUAAACUAUUUUUAAGAAUGUCCAGAUUACUUUUUUUUUUGUAAGUUCUAAGUGCAUUUUGUUAUAUACUUUGGAUUUAUUUCUUUUCCUGGGUACUAAUUUUUGUUGAUUAAGAAAAUCUGACAUGUUCAUGGAUAAUUAUUUUUUGUGGUUUUGCCAAAGUUUGAAUACAAGCAUAUAGAAAAUUUGUUAUACAAAAAUUCAUGAUUCACCUGUACUUAUGAAAUCCACAAAAAAAUUGGUAUCCAUCAAAUAAUAACAUGAAUAAUGAAGCAACAAUAUUAAAUAAUAAAUUUAUCUAAGUUGACAAUAUUUAGAAAUAAAAGCCAAUUUAAAGCCCCUUUGGGCAGAAUCAGAAAUAUAAAUCCAGGUAGACUAGUCCUUAUCUCAAUACUACUGUUUUGUAGUCCUUUUGGAGAGAAGCAGGAUGCUCUGGUGAGAUUGUAACUAUUGGUGGACCAUCUACUGCUGAGGGCUGUGAUGAAGGACCAUUGUGUAUCGUAUAUGAUGCUACGUCAUCAAAUAACAAUGCUGCUUUAGUGGCAUUUAUUGGUGGCAAACAAGCUGUUCAGUGGCAACUGCAACCAGUAAGUGUAAAGUUAAUUUCCAGUUUGAUUAGGUUUUAGUGGAUACAAAUGGUUUUUUUUAAUAAAUUUCAAAUUAUAUACUGAUGAUUCAGUUAUUUUGGUGGAUGUUUUGAUUUCAUGGAUUUGCUGAAGAUUAGGGAGCUACCAUUUGAUUUUUAUGGGGGGGCUAGGAUGAAAUUUGAAAAAAAUAGACAGGACAGGAGUUUUGAGUAAAAAAAAAGGCAGGAUGAGACACUUGCAAAAAAAAAAGUCAGGACGACAAUUUAGGUAAAAAAAAGUCAGGAUAAACUAAAAAAAAAAAGCAGGACCGAACAGAGUGAAAAAUAAAAAGGCAGGACAGAGAUAACAGCUAAAAAAAAAGGCAGGACAAAAUUUUUCAUCCUAGCCCCCCCCCAUAAAAAUCAAAUGGUAGCUCCCUUACAUACAAUGAUGUAGAAAAUGUAUACUUUGUUGAACAUUUAAAAUGAGGGAUUUAUACUUAUACACAUUUAAUCCACAACACCCAUUAAAUAUGUGAAGUAUCAACAGUAUUCUUGUAUACAAAAACACAAAUUAAAUACAAAACUUUGACUUGGAAAUUCACAGCAAAAAACUUACAGAUGAUCUUCAUGUUAUUAAACACAUUAAACACAUCUUGAUUGAACUGAAAUAAAUUAAUGGUAAGUACUUUUGUAUCUUCAAGUUGAUAAAAUUAAUAGAGAUUAAUGGAAGAAAUUUAUUGAGAAAUCUGAUUGAUACUCACAUCUUUGUUUUUUAACAGGAAGCAGACAGACAGUCAGCUGUUUUAAAAAGCUUGUCUUCAUUUUUUGGUGAUGAUGUAUGGAACUAUAAAGAUUACAGGGAACAAGAUUGGGGACUGGAGCCCUACAGUGAAGGUAGUCCUGUAUGUUGUGCAGCACCUGGUGCUAUGCCAUACUUCGUUAGUGGAUUACGUCAUUCUUUUGACAGGUAACUAAAAAAGGAAUUCAUUUAUUGUUAGUAGAGUGACUGGACUGGAACCGUAUCAUUAUACCAACUUGAACAGUUUUGGAAUGUAAUACCCCACUCUUGGAAUUAGGGGUUAACAACAAUGACAUUGUCAAUAGAUAUAAGUAGAUGUGGUAUAAGUGCCAAUGAGACAAGUUCACACAACACUUGAUCCAAGUCACAAUGCGUAAAAAGUUUACAAUUAUAGGUACAGCCUUCAACAUGGAGCUUUUGAUCACACAUAACAACAAACUAUAAAGUUACCCAAAAUGACUAAUGUAAAACAAUUCAAACAGGAAAACCAAGGGUCUAAUCUAUAUAAAAAAUGAGAAACGAGAAUCGCUUAUUCAUGAACCACAUAAACAAAUUUUAACUACUGAACAACAGGUUCCUGACUUCUUUCCAUUUGUUUAUCUGCUUUUCCUAUUUAUCUGUGGUUCAUUUAUCCAAAUGCAAUGAAUGAAUUUAUAUUUUUUUUUACUUUAUAAUAAUGAGUGACAAAUGUGGGUUAUUUUCAUAUAUGCCAGGCAUUUACUCUCUGACGAAUAGCAUAAGACCAUAUUGAAUGAUAAAUACAUGAGGAAUUUCUGAUAAUUAACAUAAAUAUUGUAUUUUUAUUAUUUUAGAAUAUAUUUUGCUGGAACAGAAUCUGCCACUAGGUGGUGUGGAUUUAUGAAUGGAGCAGUGCAAGCUGGGAAAAGGGCGGCAUUUGAAGUUAUUUAUAGAUUCCAUCCUCAAGCAAUAACAAGGGAGGAGGUGAAUGAAGCUUUUGUUAUUUCUAGGACGGAUCUUAAAUUAAAACAGAAAUCAUCUCACUUACAAUUUUAUGUAUUUGGUAUUGGUACUGUUAUAGGAGCAGGUUUAUUAUUUACUAUCUACUUUCGACGAAAAUCGUGAUAUUUAAUCUAAGCUUUAUACUAUACACAAUUGCUCUAGUUUUUUAAUGAGGUAAGUAUGGUUAAGUAGGUAUCUAGCUUUUUUUUUAACAGUUUUGUUUGUUUAAGGUGUUGAUUUUUUUGGUCUAUUACUAUUUUUUUAAAAUUUUGAUUGGUCUAGAACUACUAAAUUUGUCCAUAAAAAAGGGUCAUUCACUGUGAGAAAGACUGAAUGGGUCUGAACCUUCCUGAGCAAACUUCCCCAUUUCAGCACUCACUUUUCCAAUACCUUUUUACACAUAUGUCAUAUAUUGUAAAGUAGAAUGACAUUAUAAAUGUUUAGUUGUCAGUGGGAAGUGCCUUAUUUUGUAAGAAUAUUUGUAAAAAAUAACUGUCAGAUAAGGUUGAUGGAUAAAUACCUUUAUUGUGUUAUGAUAUACUGGAAAGAGAUAGUUAUUGUGUUUUUUUUUUUUAAAUAUUUAUAUAAAUUGGAGGGAAAAAAUUACAUGAUUCUGCAUAUUUAACUUACAUGAUAUGUUAAUGCUUUGUAUUCUAUAAUGAUAAAUGUGAUAAGAGGUCAGGAUUUUAAUUUUAAAUAUUCUUAGCCAUUGGUUUCAUUCAAAUAGAUUUUUUUUUCAUAAUUUGAAUUGGAGGUUUUAUUUUUACUGUUAUUUAGUGUGCACUGUUUUUGAUAUAUUUAAAAGAUGUUCUAAUGUUUUAUAUCUUAUUGAGAAUAUUUUGUUAUUGUUUGAAAUAAAAGUGCCAAAUGAAAACGAUUAUUUAUUGUCUAUUACCAUUACUAGAUAAGAACUAGCUUUCCAAGUGCACGAGUACCAUACUGUACAAACUACGUUCAUACAUUCAUCAACACACUACCAUAUUUUGAAAAACUAGCUUUCCUACUGGAUACAUAAGUGUUAUAGGUGUCAGACCACCAAUUAAAAAUCCCUAUCUGUUCAACCAAAUUUUGCAAUUUUCACAGCUUUCUAUAUAUUUUACCUUAAGUUUAACUUCAUAGAAACCAGGUAUAUCCUUAAUUGUACAUGUAUCAGCUUUCUACAUGCCAAUUUUUCACCAUACCUUUAAAGCCUUCUAACAAAAUAACUGACCUUCAAACAGAGGUACUCCAAAAAAAAAACCUGGUUUUCUGGAAAUCUAAAAUUAGUAUACUAUGAAGCGCAUUAAUCCUCAAUUUUUAAUGCAAACUCAUAGACAAGUAAAUUUUGGCUCAAAAUGAUCUUAAUAUAUUUCUCUUUCACCAAAAGUUUCAUUUCUGCAAAUUUGUUGGUUAGUUUAAGUAAACAAGGACAUCAAAAGCACUUAUUUUGUGUCCGAGUAGGGCUACUUUUACAUACGUUCUAAAUUGGAGGGAGUAAUUGGUGGUCUGACACAUUAUAACCACACUGAUUGCCCUCAUUAAUGAAUAUAAAAAACCUGAGCAUAUUAGCUUUCCCUUUGAAUACACAAUAUUAGUGGGACCACAAUGAAUGCACUCAUUCAUCAAUACACUAGCCUCAUUGUUUAUACUAGCUUGCCUUUUGCACACUAUAUUGGUAUGCCCACAUUGAUUGCCCUCUUUCAUCAAUAUAAUAGCCUUGAUUGUAUCGUUGAGCACCUAAGCUUUCCCUUUAAAUACAUUAUUAUUUUUAUCACACAGAAUGUCUACAUUCAUCGUAAACAAGCAUCGUUUUACUCUUUGAAUACACUAUCUCGCCCUUUAACUACAUUAUUAGUGUGACAACAGUGAAUUACCCGGCCCGUCCAUAAAUAGUUCAAUACAUUAGCCAACUAGGUUAUUCUAGCUUGCUCUUUAAACACUAUAUUGGUAUUACCACACUGAUUGCCCUUAUUCAUCAGUACAGUAGCCUUGAUUUCAUCGAUGAGGACACAAGAUUUCCCUAAUACUACACAAUUAUUAUUAUCACACUGAAUGCCUACAUUCAUCGGCACACUAGCCUCCUUUGCCUUGUUGAGUACACUAGCUUUCUCUUUAACUACAUAAUAAAUAUUAUCAUACAGAAUGCCUAAAUUCAUGGGUUAACUAGCAUCGUAGGCAUGGGUGAGUACACUAGCUUUCCCUUUAACUACAUAAAUAUUAUUAUCAUCACACUAAAUUACCGCCACAUUUAUCAGUACACUAGCUUCCUUGGUAUCGCUGAGUACACGACCAUUCCAUAUUUGAAUAUGCAAUUAUUAUGAGCACACUGAUUGCCUACAUGGAUCGGUAAACUAGCAUCGUGAGCCUUGCUGAAUCGUUACUUUUCCCUUUUAAUACAUGUACGUACAAAAUUAGUUUGACCACAUUGAAUGCCUACUUUCUUCAGUACACUAGCCUCGUCUGUAUUGCUGAGUACAUUAUCGUUCCCUUUGAACACGCUUAUUGUGACCACACUGAAUGUGCAAUCUAGUUUCCCUUUAAAUACACAAUUAUUAUUACCGAACUAAAUAGAUAUAGGAAGAUGUGGUAUGAGUGCCAAUGAUAAAAUUCUCAAUCCAAGUCACAAAUAUAAAGGUAAACCAUUAUAGGUCGAUGAAUGCCUACAUUCAACAUUAUACUACCCUCCUUGACAUCGUUGAUUACACUAGCUUUCCCUUUGAAUACACUGAAUGUUAAUAUCCAUCAAUACACUUUCCUUAUUCAAUGGGUACACUUAGCUUGUCUUAACUUUUUGUUUGUCCACACUGAAUUCCCUCGCCCAUCAAUAUACAAGCCUCAUUAGAUACACUAGCUUUUCUUCCGCAUGCAAUUUUGGUAUGACCACAAUGAAUGCCCUCGUAAAUGAAUACACUAUCCUCAUUGGAUACACUAUCUUUUUAUCUGAAUGCAAUUUUGGUAUGACCACAAUGAAUGCCCUCGUCUAUUAAUACACUAGCCUCAUUGUAUACACUAGCUUUUCUUCAGGAUACAAUUUGGUAUGACCACACUGAAUGCCCUCGCCUAUCAAUAUACUAGCCUCAUUGGAUACACUAGCUUUUCUUUAGCAUGCAAUUUUGGUAUGACCACAAUGAAUGCCCUCGUAAAUCAAUACACUAGCCGCAUUUGAUACACUAGCUUUUCUUCUGAAUGCACUUUUGGUAUGACCACACUGAAUGCUCUCGUAAAUCGGUACACUAGCCUCAUUGGAUACACUAGAUUUUUAUCUGACUUCAAUUUUGGUAUGACCAUUAUGAAUGCCCUCGUCUAUUAAUACACUAUAGCCUUAUGGAUACACUAGCUUUUCUUAAGCAUGCAAUUUUUGAUUACCACAAUGAAUGCCCUCGUAAUUAAAUACACUAGCCUCAUUGGAUACACUAUCUUUUUAUCUGAAUGCAAUUUUGGUAUGACCACACUGAAUGCUCUCGUAAAUCAAUGCACAAGAUUCAUUGGAUACAAUAGCUUUCUGUCUGGAUGCAAUUUUGGUAUGACCACACUGAAUGCCCUCAUAAAUCAAUACACUAGCCUCAUUGGAUAUAGUAGCUUUUUAUCCGACACUGAAUGCCCUCAUAAAUCAUUACACUAGUCUCAUUGAAUACAAUAGCUUUUCUUUAGCAUGAAUUUUGGUAUGAACACAAUGAAUGCCCUCGUAAAUCAAUACACUAGCAUCAUUUGAUACAAUAGCUUUUUAUCUGAAUGCAAUUUUGGUAUGACCACACUGAAUGUCCUCGACUAUCAAUUCAUUAACCUCAUUUGAUACACUAGCUUUUCUUCAACAUGUAAUUUUGGUAUGACCACACUGAAUGCCCUCGUAAACCAUUACACUAACCUCAUUUGAUACAAUAGCUUUUUAUCUGAAUGCAAUUUUGGUAUGACCACACUGAAUGCCCUUGUAAAUCAAUACAAUAGCCUCAUUUGAUACAAUAUCUCUUUUUCUGAAUGCACUUUUGGUAUAACCACACUGAAUGCCCUCGUAAAUCAAUACACUAGCAUCAUUGAAUACACUAGCUUCUGAUCUGAAUGCAAUUUUGUUAUGACCACAAUGAAUGCCCGCCUAAAUCAAUACACUAGCCUAAUUUGAUACAAUAGCAAUAGCUUUUUAGAAGAAUGUAAUUUUGUUAUGACCACAAUGAAUGCCCUCCUUAAUCAAUACGCUAGCCUCAUUUGAUACAAUAGCUUUUUAUCUGAAUGCAAUUUUGGUAUGACAACACUAAAUGUCCUCGUCUAUCAAUUCACAAGACUCAUUGGAUACAAUAGCUUUUUGUCUGAAUGCAAUUUUGGUAUGACCACACUGAAUGCCCUUAUUAAUCAAUACACUAGUUUUAUUGGAUAUAAAAGCUUUUUAUCUGAAUGUAAUUUUGGUAUGACCACACUGAAUGCCCUCGUCUAUUAAUACACAAGACUCAUUUGAUACAAUAUCUUUUUAUCUAAAUGCAAUUUUGGUAUGACCACACUAAAUGCCCUCGUAAAUAAAUACACUAGCCUCAUUAGAUACAUUAUCUUUUUAUCUGAAUGCAAUUUUGGUAUGACCACACUGAAUGCCCUCGUAAAUAAAUACACUAGCCUCAUUGGAUACAGUAUCUUUUUAUCUGAAUGCAAUCUUGGUAUGACCACAAUGAAUGCCCUUAAAAUGAAUUCCCUCAUAAAUCAAUACACUAGCCUUAUUUGAUACAAUAGCUUUUUAUCUGAAUGCAAUUUUGGUAUCAACACACUGAAUGUCCUCGUCAAAUCAAUUCACUAGCCUCAUUUGAUACACUAGCUUUUCUUCAGCAUGCAAUUUUGGUAUGACCACAUGGAUGCCCUCGUAAACCAUUACACUAACCUCAUUGGAUACAAUAGCUUUUUAUCUGAAUGCAAUUUUGGUAUGACCACACUGAAUGCCCUCGUAAAUCAAAACAAUAGCCUCAUUUAAUACAAUAGCUUUUUAUCUGAAUGCAAUUGUGGUAUGACCACACUGAAUGCCCUCGUAAAUCAAUACACUAGCCUCAUUGAAUACAAUAGCUUUUCUUUAGCAUGCAUUUUGGUAUGGUCACAAUGAAUGUCCUAGUAAAUCAAUAAACUAGCAUCAUUGAAUACACUAGCUUUUUAUAUGAAUGCAAUUUUGUUAUGACCACAAUGAAUGCCCUCCUUAAUCAAUACACUAGCCUCAUUUGAUACAAUAGCUUUUUAUCUGAAUGCAGUUUUUGUAUGACCACACUGAAUUCCCUCGUCUAUCAAUACACUAGCCUCAUUUGAUUCUUCAGCAUGCAAUUUUGGUAUGACCACACUGAAUGUUCUUGUCUAUCAAUACACUAGCCUAAUUGGAUACAAUAGCUUUUUAUCUGAAUGCGAUUUUGGUAUGACCACACUGAAUGCCCUCGUAAAUCAAUAUACUAGCCUCAUUUGAUACAAGAGCUUUUUAUCUGAAUGCAAUUUUGGUAUGACCACACUGAAUGCCCUCAUUAAUCAAUACACUAGCCUCAUUGGAUACAAUAGCUUUUUAUCUGUAUGCAAUUUUGGUAUGAACACAAUGAAUGCCCUCGUUAAUCAAUACACUAAUCUCAUUUGAUACAAUAACUUUUUAUCUGAAUGCAAUUUUGGUAUGACCACUCCGAAUGCCCUCGUCUAUCAAUACACUAGCCUCAUUUGAUACACUAGCUCUUCUUCAGCAUGUAAUUUUGGUAUGACCACACUGAAUGCCCUCGUAAAUCAUUACACUAGCCUCAUUGGAUAUAAUAGCUUUUUAUCUGAAUGCAAUUUUUGUAUGUCCACAAUGAAUGCCCUUGUAAAUCAAUACACUAGCCUGAUUGGAUACAAUAGCUUUUCUUUUUCUUUAAACAAUGAUUAUGUCGUAAUUACGAGAUAGUUUUCUCGCAAUUACGCGAUGAUUAUCUCGUGAUUACAAGAUAACACUAUUACGCAUCGGUGACAAUAUAAUGGAGUUUGAUGAGACUGUCAUACAAUUGAGAGGUUUAGCUAGCUAUAAAACCAGGUUCAAUCCACCAUUUUCUACAUAAGAAAAUGCCUGUACCAAGUCAGGAAUAUGACAGUUGUUAUCCAUUUGUUUGAUGCGUUUGAACUUUUGAUUUUGCCAUUUGAUUGGGGACUUUCCUUUUUGAAUUUUCCUUGGAGUUCAGUAUUUUUGUGAUUUUAUUUUUUUUUUCUCGUAAUUACGCAAUAAUUAUCGCGUAAUUACGAGAUAAUUCUCGUGUAAUAACAAUAAUUCUCGCGUAAUAAUAAUACGCGAUAGUUUUCUUGUAAUUACGAGAUAAAUAAAACAAAUUGUGACCCUAAUAGGCUUUCGUAAUAAAGGCAUCAAAAUGCAUUAUUAUAAAACAAUUAAAACUUGAAUACUAACACUCUGGAGUUUCGGCUAAUUUUAAGUGUCAUACCAGAGUUGCAUGUUCCCUCCAUAGAAGCACAACUCCUUGAAACAUAUUUGUUAUCUUUUUUGAAACUUAGUUUCUUGAUACGUAUUUAUUUUAUACAGUUGCAAGUUCACAAAAAAAAACAAGGACAAAAUGAAAGGUCUUGUAAUAUUUUCAGAUGAAUUUCGAACAGAUUCCCUCAAGCUAG